CGCGUAGGCGGCUUUAUAAGUCUGGAGUGAAAGUCCUCUUUUCAAGGGAGGAAUUGCUUUGGAAACUAUAGAGCUUGAGUGCAGGAGAGGUUAUCGGAAUUCCCGGUGUAGCGGUGAAAUGCGUAGAUAUCGGGAGGAACAUCAGUGGCGAAGGCGACUAACUGGACUGUAACUGACGCUGAGGCGCGAAAGUGUGGGGAGCAAACA
This 207-nucleotide ribosomal RNA is filed under the name uncultured bacterium. RNAcentral describes it as "partial 16S ribosomal RNA". It matches the Rfam family "Bacterial small subunit ribosomal RNA", at positions 568 to 774 of the family's 1533-position model. The record is from RNAcentral.